CUAACUCUCAACAGCUAGCCCCACCCCCUUAAAACAACAAACCCUAUUAAUAACCCCAUAAACCCCUCCCCACCUUCAACAAACCAUUUUUCCCCUUUAGUAUGGGGGACAGAAAAAGAACUUGGCGCAAUAGAAAAAGUACCGCAAGGGAAAGCUGAAAGAGAAAUGAAAUAACCCAGUAAAGAACCAUAAAGCAGAGACCUUCCCUCGUACCUUUUGCAUCAUGAUUUAGCAAGAAUUUUUCAAGCAAAAUGAUUUUUAGUUUGAACCCCCGAAACUAAGUGAGCUACUCCAAGACAGCUUAUUGAGCAAACCCGUCUCUGUAGCAAAAGAGUGGGAAGAUCUUCGAGUAGAGGUGACAGACCUACCGAACUUAGUUAUAGCUGGUUGCCUACAAAAUGAAUAGAAGUUCAGCCUCUGGCCUUUUUUCCUCCAAUCCAGUACACACCCUUAAUGUCACGAAGAAGCCCAGAGAGUUAUUCAGAGGGGGGACAGCCCCUCUGAAAAAAAACACAACUUUAAAUAACAGGUUAAAGAUCAAAACCCUACAAAGGCAAUUUAACCCUGGUGGGCCUAAAAGCAGCCACCCCUGAAGAAAGCGUUAAAGCUCAAGUAUUUUGCCGCCAUAAUUCCGACAACAUAAUCUUAAACCUUUGCCCUAACAGUAGGCCUUUCCAUUUAUCAUGGAAGAGAUACUGCUAAUAUGAGUAAUAAGAGGAAAGCCCCUCUCCCAGUCACUUGUGCACAUCAGAACGAACCCACACUGAAAACUAACGCCCCCAACCCUAGAGGGAAUUUUAAUACCCAACAAUAAACUAGAAAACCACCAAAAAACUAGCGUUAAUCCCACACAGGUGUGUCUAAGGAAAGACUAAAAGAAAAAGAAGGAACUCGGCAAACACUGGCCUCGCCUGUUUACCAAAAACAUCGCCUCUUGCUCCAUUUAUUAAACGUAUAAGAGGUCCCGCCUGCCCUGUGACUAACAGUUUAACGGCCGCGGUAUUUUGACCGUGCGAAGGUAGCGUAAUCACUUGUCUUUUAAAUGAAGACCUGUAUGAAUGGCAUAACGAGGGCUAAGCUGUCUCCUUUUUCCAGUCAAUGAAAUUGAUCUCCCCGUGCAGAAGCGGGGAUACCAACAUAAGACGAGAAGACCCUAUGGAGCUUAAGACACAAAGCAGUUCAAGUAAAACCACCUAAUUUACUAGAAAUAACAAAAUGAAUCCUGCCCUCUUGUCUUUGGUUGGGGCGACCGCGGGGAAAUAAAAAACCCCCAUGUGGAAUGGACACUUCCCUCCUAAAGUAAGAGCCACAGCUCUAACAAGCAGAAUAUCUGACCAACAAGAUCCGGCAAAGCCGAUCAACGGACCGAGUUACCCUAGGGAUAACAGCGCAAUCCCCUUUUAGAGCCCAUAUCGACAAGGGGGUUUACGACCUCGAUGUUGGAUCAGGACAUCCUAAUGGUGCAGCCGCUAUUAAGGGUUCGUUUGUUCAACGAUUAAAGUCCUACGUGAUCUGAGUUCAGACCGGAGAAAUCCAGGUCAGUUUCUAUCUAUGAUUGUUCUUUUCUAGUACGAAAGGACCGAAAAGAAGAGGCCUAUGCUUUAAGUAAGCCUCCCCCUUACCUGAGGGAGCCAACUAAAACAGGUAAAAGGGGCACCCUGCCCUGCCUGAGAAAAAGGCAA
This 1682-nucleotide ribosomal RNA is filed under the name Wuhanlinigobius polylepis. RNAcentral describes it as "16S ribosomal RNA". It matches the Rfam family "Bacterial large subunit ribosomal RNA". The record is from RNAcentral. Lineage: Eukaryota; Metazoa; Chordata; Actinopteri; Gobiiformes; Gobiidae.